This 794-nucleotide long non-coding RNA is filed under the name Cotesia glomerata. Its description in RNAcentral is "uncharacterized LOC123262580, transcript variant X1". Lineage: Eukaryota; Metazoa; Arthropoda; Insecta; Hymenoptera; Braconidae. The record is from RNAcentral.
CAAUAAAAACUUUUUUAAGUAUUUAAACUUAAGAGUGUCAUAUUCGACCUCGAAGUUUGUGAUUAACGGGGCUGAGGUUAAGGCUACUUUUUCCCCAGAAAGAAACAACACUUUAUUGGCCUCUGCACUACUGCUGGAGAAAAGGACAUUAUAUAUUGUUAUUGAUUACCCACGUGUGUAUAAAAUGUAUCAUGUCAGCAAAAGAGAGAAUGGAUAACUUAAACUUUGAUUGUGACAGUUAACUCGGGUAAAGUUACCGUAAACGAGAUAGAGAAAACUAAACUCGAUGUCACUUAGGUACUCCUCGGGAUGUAUAUAUGCAAGCGGAGAGAAGAGAAAGGUCAAUCGAGUUGGCACUUCUUACUAUCUCGACUUUUCUGUAUAUCCAAUUGACACAAUCAAACAGACAUCGCUCGGUGAUUUCAUACAAUUUAUAUUGUUACCCGAAUGUAAAUAAUGCAACUGGGUUGAAUGUUUCUACUGCAACAUUAUAUUGAGCUUAACAUUUUAUUUUUAUGCAUACACACAAAUAAAUAAAGUGGAUGUUGGAUAUAUAUUUGUGGACAGUCAAGAGGAGAAUUAUAGGGCUUAAGUAAACGAGUUGUGCAUUGAAAUCACGUUCAACAGCAUGCAUAUUUAUUUUGCGACGAACCUCAAAUCCAAGGCCUCGUAGACUUCGCAAAAAGUCAUGUGUGCUGUUUUCACACAUGUGGGAGUAGAAAAUGUCAACCGUUAUAUUUUUUCGAUUUAUUAAGUCUGUUUUUAUAUAAAAUAUUCAUAAGCUAGUUUAAUUA